Molecule: ribosomal RNA, 331 nt
Filed under: uncultured Melioribacter sp.
Lineage: Bacteria; Pseudomonadati; Ignavibacteriota; Ignavibacteria; Ignavibacteriales; Melioribacteraceae
Description: bacterial SSU rRNA
Rfam family: Bacterial small subunit ribosomal RNA
Source: RNAcentral
AGCGUAGGUGGGAGUUUAAGUUGGGUGUUUAAUCCCGGGGCCUAACCCCGGAUCGGCACCCAAAACUGGGCUUCUUGAAUGGGACAGAGGCUAAUGGAAUUGGAGGUGUAGCGGUGGAAUGCGUAGAGAUCUCCAAGAACACCAGUUGCGAAGGCGGUUAGCUGGGUCCACAUUGACACUGAGGCUCGAAAGCGUGGGGAGCAAACAGGAUUAGAUACCCUGGUAGUCCACGCCGUAAACGAUGAACACUAGGUUUUGACCCCGUCAACGGGCCAGAGCCGUAGCUAACGCGUUAAGUGUUCCGCCUGGGGAGUACGCUCGCAAGGGUGAA